This 607-nucleotide ribosomal RNA is filed under the name uncultured bacterium. RNAcentral describes it as "bacterial SSU rRNA". It matches the Rfam family "Bacterial small subunit ribosomal RNA", at positions 331 to 929 of the family's 1533-position model. The record is from RNAcentral.
CCAGACUCCUACGGGAGGCAGCAGUAGGGAAUCUUCCGCAAUGGGCGAAAGCCUGACGGAGCAACGCCGCGUGAGUGAUGAAGGUCUUCGGAUCGUAAAACUCUGUUAUUAGGGAAGAACAAACGUGUAAGUAACUGUGCACGUCUUGACGGUACCUAAUCAGAAAGCCACGGCUAACUACGUGCCUGCAGCCGCGGUAAUACGUAGGUGGCAAGCGUUAUCCGGAAUUAUUGGGCGUAAAGCGCGCGUAGGCGGUUUUUUAAGUCUGAUGUGAAAGCCCACGGCUCAACCGUGGAGGGUCAUUGGAAACUGGAAAACUUGAGUGCAGAAGAGGAAAGUGGAAUUCCAUGUGUAGCGGUGAAAUGCGCAGAGAUAUGGAGGAACACCAGUGGCGAAGGCGACUUUCUGGUCUGUAACUGACGCUGAUGUGCGAAAGCGUGGGGAUCAAACAGGAUUAGAUACCCUGGUAGUCCACGCCGUAAACGAUGAGUGCUAAGUGUUAGGGGGUUUCCGCCCCUUAGUGCUGCAGCUAACGCAUUAAGCACUCCGCCUGGGGAGUACGACCGCAAGGUUGAAACUCAAAGGAAUUGACGGGGGCCCGCACAAG